RNAcentral lists this transfer RNA (76 nucleotides) under bacterium. RNAcentral's name for it is "tRNA-Ala". It matches the Rfam family "tRNA". Rfam says of the family: Transfer RNA (tRNA) molecules are approximately 80 nucleotides in length. Their secondary structure includes four short double-helical elements and three loops (D, anti-codon, and T loops). The record is from RNAcentral.
GGGCCGCUAGCUCAUCUGGUAGAGCGCUGGCAUGGCAUGCUAGAGGUGAGGGGUUCGAUCCCCCUGCGGUCCACCA